Phascolarctos cinereus (koala) is the source of this 457-nucleotide non-coding RNA. NCBI's taxonomy places the organism in Eukaryota, Metazoa, Chordata, Mammalia, Diprotodontia, Phascolarctidae. The record is from RefSeq and is a predicted model, not a curated record.
CACAGCUAAGCGUUUGAGGCUGGAUUUGAACUCAUGAAGCAAAGAAUCUCUGGCCAGAAAAUGCUCAAAUUCAAGAAUAAUCAGAAACUUACCUGUGCAGAAGCAUUCAGAAGACCUGAUGAAGUGCCUUCAGAUUCUGGCUCCAGCUAAGGUGUGCUACCUAAGACUAAGGGGUAAAGGACAACAAUUCUCCCACCUCUUGCAUCAUCAGUACACAUAAGGAAACCAAAAACUCUUCAUGCACUGCUAGACCCUUUUCUCCCAAGCUUGAACAGACCCAAGUUCUGCUUCUUUGGGCAAAGUUUGAAAUAUGUUAUUGUUUUAUUUAUUUGCCUGUAUGUGAUUAAAACAACCAUUAAAUACUGUUUUCAAGAUAAAUAUUCCUUAGUACUUAUGGAAUUAUUUUUCAAAAGAACAGGACUUCUACCUUACCCUGAAUACCUGAACUACCUUUGGA